This 500-nucleotide ribosomal RNA is filed under the name uncultured bacterium. RNAcentral describes it as "bacterial SSU rRNA". It matches the Rfam family "Bacterial small subunit ribosomal RNA", at positions 21 to 507 of the family's 1533-position model. The record is from RNAcentral.
GGCUCAGGAUGAGCGCUAGCUACAGGCUUAACACAUGCAAGUCGAGGGGAAACGACAUCGAAAGCUUGCUUUUGAUGGGCGUCGACCGGCGCACGGGUGAGUAACGCGUAUCCAACCUGCCCAUCACUUGGGGGAUAACCUUGCGAAAGUAAGACUAAUACCCAAUGAUAUCCCACGAAGGCAUCCGAAUGGGAUUAAAGAUUUAUCGGUGAUGGAUGGGGAUGCGUCUGAUUAGCUUGUUGGCGGGGUAACGGCCCACCAAGGCUAUGAUCAGUAGGGGGUUCUGAGAGGAAGGUCCCCCACAUUGGAACUGAGACACGGUCCAAACUCCUACGGGAGGCAGCAGUGAGGAAUAUUGGUCAAUGGGCGAGAGCCUGAACCAGCCAAGUAGCGUGCAGGAUGACGGCCCUAUGGGUUGUAAACUGCUUUUAUAAGGGAAUAAAGUGAGCCUCGUGAGGCUUUUGCAUGUACCUUAUGAAUAAGGACCGGCUAAUUCCGUG